Molecule: long non-coding RNA, 298 nt
Filed under: Elaeis guineensis (African oil palm)
Lineage: Eukaryota; Viridiplantae; Streptophyta; Magnoliopsida; Arecales; Arecaceae
Description: long non-coding RNA (EGUI_LNC056894)
Source: RNAcentral
AUUAGUAUAAAUAUUAUAUCAAAAAAUAAAAAAAAUAUUGAUACAAAUAUUAAAAUAAUAUUAAUAUAUUAUAAAUAUUAUAAUAUUAAUAUUAAUAUGAUAAUAUAAAAGAUAAUGUUAAAAAUAUAUUUCAGAAAAAAAGGUCCUCUAAUUUUUAUUCUAUGAGAAUUCUAAAAAUCUAUCUCCCUUAUAGGUUUUCUUUCAUAUGAAACGUGAGAAUUAUAUUCUCAUAAGAAGAUCUUUUUUCAAUCUUUCUCCUUGGAAUCUUCCAACCAAACAAGAGGAGUGUUGCCGCCAA